This is a long non-coding RNA of Daphnia pulex (common water flea), 1041 nucleotides long. RefSeq lists it as uncharacterized. The record is from RefSeq and is a predicted model, not a curated record. The transcript has 5 exons. NCBI's taxonomy places the organism in Eukaryota, Metazoa, Arthropoda, Branchiopoda, Diplostraca, Daphniidae.
CGCUUGCAAGCGAGCAAGCGUGACAUUUGUUGUCGUUUGACUGAUCAUUUAGUUUGUAUUGUGCCAUUAUAUUCAUUUCAAUUAGUGCAACAGUUUAUUGAUCGAAAGGUCCACGAAAAGCGUGAAUCUUUAAGAUAAACGGGUGUGGUGCCAAGUAUGUGUGAUGAUUUUGUGUACCAUAUCACUGAAAGAGUAUCAGCAUCGUGGUUGUCCUUCCAGGAGGAAAAUGACAUCAAAUUAUAUUUUUUAAGUUAUGUUUACAUAGCAUUUUAAAAAUUCAUCAUGUAGGGUGCAAUAGUUUUGAUUAUUUUUUUUUGUUUAUUUAGAUUUUGCUUUGGAUUUUGCAUUUAGACUGAAUGAGACGAGCCAUCUGUUUGUCCUUUCAAGGAAAAAGAAAAGGCCAACAUCACCAACACAGUCAACAAAAUUCUUUGUUUGUUAUUCCGUUGGCUGCUACCUCUUCAAUCCCCACCCCUAUAUCCUGGAAUGGGCCUGCUCUUAUUUUGAGGUUAAUCCUGCGCCGUUAUUCAAUGGACUGAAUCCAUUGUACCUUACGAGAGAUCAGCGAUGACUGACUGACGUGCUGUCAUUCAGCAAUACUGCUCACUCGCACGCCAUCCUCUUUCGUCGCUCCGAGGAAUGAGGGAGUUGAGCCUGCUUCAACUCGGACACGGCCAGCAUCAUUCGACUACAACCGACUUGUACUACCCCUGCUCUCAAAACAGCACGGAAUUUUCAUCUUCACAUUGAUUGGCUGUUUGCGAUGCGUGAUGACGUUUCCUUGAGGACGACGAGGUGGUGAUUUUGGGGACAAGAAUAUUAAGUUCUAAACUACAAGUUUCUAAAUUUGCAUGACAGACUUUAUGAGAAGUCAUGUCCUUUGACGAAAACGGACAAUGAACAUAGUCAACAAGGUCCCUUGUUUGGUAACCCGUUGGCUGCUACCCUUUUAACUUCCUUAAACGGGCCUUCUUGAUUUAAGGGUAACUCCUUCGCUGCUUUAUAUCAUGGACUUCAUCCAUUGGUGAAAACUGACGAGAG